This 107-nucleotide non-coding RNA is filed under the name Clostridium tetanomorphum. Its description in RNAcentral is "SAM-I sequence". It matches the Rfam family "SAM riboswitch aptamer (S box leader)". From Rfam's summary of the family: The SAM riboswitch is found upstream of a number of genes which code for proteins involved in methionine or cysteine biosynthesis in Gram-positive bacteria. The SAM riboswitch acts at the level of transcription termination control. Lineage: Bacteria; Bacillati; Bacillota; Clostridia; Eubacteriales; Clostridiaceae. The record is from Rfam by way of RNAcentral.
AGCUUAUCAAGAGAGGUGGAGGGACUGGCCCUAUGAAGCCCAGCAACCAGUAUUACUAAGGUAAUGCUAAGGUGCUAAUUCCUGCGGUGUAUGCCGAAAGAUGAGGA